This 698-nucleotide long non-coding RNA is filed under the name Nicotiana tabacum (common tobacco). Its description in RNAcentral is "long non-coding RNA (NTAB_LNC013479)". The record is from RNAcentral. Lineage: Eukaryota; Viridiplantae; Streptophyta; Magnoliopsida; Solanales; Solanaceae.
AAAUAAUUUUUGUCCAGAAACAAAAUUGAGAGAAACAGUUCGAAUGCCAAGACAGAAACAAUUCGAAUGCCAACAAAAUUUUUGGCUUUCUGUAGUAGUAUAUGGAAAUUGGAAACACUUAAACUUGCUAUCUAUAAUUCUAUAUUCUUCUUUUUUUUCUAUUUGAAAACACCAUAUUCAAAACAAAAUAAAAACACCUGAACAUCCAACAUUUUACACUGCCAAUUACAUUUGCAGUGUCCCAAUUACAUUUACACACUGCCAUUGCCAAGAACACCUGAACAACCAAUAUUUCAGGAAACACCUACAGUUAUAUUUAUACACGGCAAUUAUAUUUACCAACUGGAAACACCUGAACAACCAACAUUCUUCGAAAAAAGGCCAUCCACAAACAGAGCAAACACCUGAACAUUGGCAUUCAUUCACAAUUCAGCAAAACCAUAAACACAACCAUAAUCAGCUCUGUUUAAGGAACAACAAGAGCUCAAAAUGCACCUUAGCCAAAAUGUUUACUUUCAUUUUAUUGAACAUACCCAAAUACCCAAUAAUAUAAUUUCAAGGUAAAACAAAUAAAAACUGGUAAAAAGGUUUAAAAAAAGAGUUAAUCUUUAGCAGCUCUAGCACAAAUUAUGGAAGAAACUAGAAACAUACCUUUGAAUUUUGAUUAGCAGCCGAUCUCUUUGAAGUCCCAACAAGCU